Molecule: ribosomal RNA, 1346 nt
Filed under: uncultured bacterium
Lineage: Bacteria
Description: partial 16S ribosomal RNA
Rfam family: Bacterial small subunit ribosomal RNA
Source: RNAcentral
GACGAACGCUGGCGGCGUGCUUAACACAUGCAAGUCGAACGGAAAGGCCCUGCUUUUGUGGGGUGCUCGAGUGGCGAACGGGUGAGUAACACGUGAGUAACCUGCCCUUGACUUUGGGAUAACUUCAGGAAACUGGGGCUAAUACCGGAUAGGAGCUCCUGCUGCAUGGUGGGGGUUGGAAAGUUUCGGCGGUUGGGGAUGGACUCGCGGCUUAUCAGCUUGUUGGUGGGGUAGUGGCUUACCAAGGCUUUGGCGGGUAGCCGGCCUGAGAGGGUGACCGGCCACAUUGGGACUGAGAUACGGCCCAGACUCCUACGGGAGGCAGCAGUGGGGAAUAUUGCACAAUGGGCGGAAGCCUGAUGCAGCAACGCCGCGUGCGGGAUGACGGCCUUCGGGUUGUAAACCGCUUUCGCCUGUGACGAAGCGUGAGUGACGGUAAUGGGUAAAGAAGCACCGGCUAACUACGUGCCAGCAGCCGCGGUGAUACGUAGGGUGCGAGCGUUGUCCGGAUUUAUUGGGCGUAAAGGGCUCGUAGGUGGUUGAUCGCGUCGGAAGUGUAAUCUUGGGGCUUAACCCUGAGCGUGCUUUCGAUACGGGUUGACUUGAGGAAGGUAGGGGAGAAUGGAAUUCCUGGUGGAGCGGUGGAAUGCGCAGAUAUCAGGAGGAACACCAGUGGCGAAGGCGGUUCUCUGGGCCUUUCCUGACGCUGAGGAGCGAAAGCGUGGGGAGCGAACAGGCUUAGAUACCCUGGUAGUCCACGCUGUAAACGGUGGGUACUAGGUGUGGGGUCCAUUCCACGGGUUCCGUGCCGUAGCUAACGCUUUAAGUACCCCGCCUGGGGAGUACGGCCGCAAGGCUAAAACUCAAAGGAAUUGACGGGGCCCCGCACAAGCGGCGGAGCAUGCGGAUUAAUUCGAUGCAACGCGUAGAACCUUACCUGGGUUUGACAUGGAUCGGGAGUGCUCAGAGAUGGGUGUGCCUCUUUUGGGGUCGGUUCACAGGUGGUGCAUGGCUGUCGUCAGCUCGUGUCGUGAGAUGUUGGGUUAAGUCCCGCAACGAGCGCAACCCUUGUUCACUGUUGCCAGCACGUUAUGGUGGGGACUCAGUGGAGACCGCCGGGGUCAACUCGGAGGAAGGUGGGGAUGACGUCAAGUCAUCAUGCCCCUUAUGUCCAGGGCUUCACGCAUGCUACAAUGGCUGGUACAGAGAGUGGCGAGCCUGUGAGGGUGAGCGAAUCUCGGAAAGCCGGUCUCAGUUCGGAUUGGGGUCUGCAACCCGACCUCAUGAAGUCGGAGUCGCUAGUAAUCGCAGAUCAGCAACGCUGCGGUGAAUACGUUCCCGGGGCU